RNAcentral lists this ribosomal RNA (396 nucleotides) under uncultured bacterium. RNAcentral describes it as "partial 16S ribosomal RNA". It matches the Rfam family "Bacterial small subunit ribosomal RNA", at positions 361 to 773 of the family's 1533-position model. The record is from RNAcentral.
AUAUUGCGCAAUGGGGGGAACCCUGACGCAGCAACGCCGCGUGAGUGAAGAAGGUUUUCGGAUCGUAAAGCUCUGUCAUUGGGGACGAAAAGAUGACGGUACCCAAGGCGGAAGCCCCGGCUAACUACGUGCCAGCAGCCGCGGUAAUACGUAGGGGGCGAGCGUUACCCGGAAUUAUUGGGCGUAAAGGGUGCGUAGGCGGCCUUUUAAGUCAGAUGUGAAAGGCUACGGCUUAACCGUAGUUAGCAUUUGAAACUAAAAGGCUUGAGUGCAGGAGAAGAGAGUGGAAUUCCUAGUGUAGCGGUGAAAUGCGUAGAUAUUAGGAGGAACACCAGUGGCGAAGGCGACUCUCUGGACUGCAACUGACGCUGAGGCACGAAAGCGUGGGGAGCGAAC